Erysipelotrichaceae bacterium 3_1_53 is the source of this 102-nucleotide non-coding RNA. NCBI's taxonomy places the organism in Bacteria, Bacillati, Bacillota, Erysipelotrichia, Erysipelotrichales, Erysipelotrichaceae. The record is from Rfam.
ACAUGUAUUGACAUACAUGCUUGUAUAUACCCUGUAAUAAGGUCAGGGAGUUUCUAGCCGUUCACCGUAAAAGAGCGGGCUACAAGCAAACAAUUACUCUUU